This 459-nucleotide ribosomal RNA is filed under the name uncultured bacterium. RNAcentral's name for it is "partial 16S ribosomal RNA". It matches the Rfam family "Bacterial small subunit ribosomal RNA", at positions 338 to 795 of the family's 1533-position model. The record is from RNAcentral.
CCUACGGGAGGCUGCAGUGAGGAAUAUUGGUCAAUGGGCGCGAGCCUGAACCAGCCAAGUCGCGUGAGGGAAGACGGUCCUAUGGAUUGUAAACCUCUUUUGUCGGGGAGCAAAAGACGCCACGCGUGGCGUUCCGAGAGUACCCGAAGAAAAAGCAUCGGCUAACUCCGUGCCAGCAGCCGCGGUAAUACGGAGGAUGCGAGCGUUAUCCGGAUUUAUUGGGUUUAAAGGGUGCGCAGGCGGACGAUCAAGUCAGCGGUAAAAUUGAGAGGCUCAACCUCUUCGAGCCGUUGAAACUGGUUGUCUUGAGUGAGUGAGAAGUAUGCGGAAUGCGUGGUGUAGCGGUGAAAUGCAUAGAGAUCACGCAGAACUCCGAUUGCGAAGGCAGCAUACCGGAGUUCAACUGACGCUGAUGCACGAAAGUGUGGGUAUCGAACAGGAUUAGAUACCCGAGUAGUC